RNAcentral lists this transfer RNA (68 nucleotides) under Marmota monax (woodchuck). RNAcentral describes it as "tRNA.Ser". The record is from RNAcentral. Lineage: Eukaryota; Metazoa; Chordata; Mammalia; Rodentia; Sciuridae.
GGAUUGUGGCUUAGCGAUAGAGUGCUCACCUCGAAUGUAUGAGGUCCUGGGUUCGAUCCUCAGCACCU